GGAGUCUACCAUGUGACCGAGUUUUUCGGCUUAAAAACCCGAAAAGCGCAGCGAAAGCGUUUGCCGGUCGUCGGUUCGCGCCGGCGGCCGUAUUAUUGCAAUGGCAGAGAUGAUGGUGGCCAGAUCGGCCGCUCGCAAUCUCGAGGUGGUCUCGUUUCUGUCGCUCGCGGCGGAUGAGCCAUACUCGUAGGUCGCACGCUAAGCCCCGAAAGAUGGUGAACUAUGCCUGACAAGGACGAAGUCUGGGGAAACCCUGAUGGAGGUCCGUAACGCUUCUGACGUGCAAAUCGAUCGGCAUAGUCGGGUAUAGGGGCGAAAGACCAAUCGAACCAUCUAGUAGCUGGUUCCUUUCGAAGUUUCCUUCAGGAUAGCUAGACGUGAUUGACUGACGCGCGCUCGCGCUCGCCGCGAACGCGCUUUACGUAGUCACAUGCGGUAAAGCGAAUGAUUAGAAGUAUUGGGGCCGAAACGGCCUCAACUUAUUCUCAAACUUUCAAUGUGUGUGCUCCGCGAGCUUUCGAAAAUCAUUUAGUCGACGGCUCGUCGCUUCGGCGGCGGGUCGAUUCGGCCGAAGCUCCGGAUAGAUAUGCCACGUCUAAGUGGGCCAUUUUUGGUAAGCAGAACUGGCGAUGUGGGAUGAACCAAACAACAAGUUAAAGUGCCUAAGCCGACGCUCAUGAGAUACCAAAAAAGGCGUUAGUAACUAAAGACAGCAGGACGGUGGCCAU
RNAcentral lists this ribosomal RNA (728 nucleotides) under Odontalgus sp. JP-2016. Its description in RNAcentral is "eukaryotic LSU rRNA". It matches the Rfam family "Eukaryotic large subunit ribosomal RNA", at positions 670 to 1255 of the family's 3401-position model. Lineage: Eukaryota; Metazoa; Arthropoda; Insecta; Coleoptera; Staphylinidae. The record is from RNAcentral.